GUCAAGUGUCCAGUAUUUACAUUUAGCAAUUGUCUGCUCGUGACACUGAUUGGUUCUCCAGACUCUCCCUGUUUCAACAUUUCAUGACUGCUAGAUGGCAAAUUAAUUUAAGACUGCUGAAUUAUGGACUCUGCACACACACACACACACUCUCUCUCUCUCUCUCUCUCUCUCUCUCUCUGUCUCUCUCUUUCUCUCUCUCUGAGUGAGAUGGCGUGUGAGAGCUGAGAGCGAAUCACUUUUCGAUUCAACUUUCUGUGAGUUUUGAGAAUUUAUUUCUCUUUUCUUUAGGUGUGAGUGUGUGUAUGAGUUGUUUAUUUAUCGUUUGGUGUUUAGAGGGCUGUGUUUUUUUGCGUGUGUGAGUGUGUGGGUGCUUUCGUUUGGUGGGCGGCGUGUUAACAGCACAAUGCCGGUGGCUGAGGCUGCAGCAGCAGAAUUUGAAAAACUGACUCGCCGUCAUGCGAUCAAAAUUCACCCCGCGGUGCAGUGCUUGGUGGAGGAAGCCAGCCUGGCUGUAGGAGAGGUGGUCAGUACGCUUCUUUUUUGGGUUGGAGCGUAAAAAUGGACAAAGGAAGACCAUUCACUGUUUAUGGACGGGUAGCAGCUCCGAAGUCUCAGACUCGUCUGAGAUCAGGAAUUUUGCUGCCAACUACUACAGAAACCUCUUUAAGAGUGAGUGGACGCAUAAUCCAGAAGAGCACAGCAACUUCCUGGCGGGUCUCCCUCAGGUCAACGAGGCUGACAACAGCAGACUGGCAGCAGAGGUGACGCUGCAGGAGCUCCACGCAGCCACCAUGAGCCUGCAGAGUGGCAGAGCUCCAGGCAUAGACGGCCUUCCUGCUGACUUUUACAAGUCCCUCUAGUCCAUCAUAGGACCAGACCUGCUAGAGGUCAUGAUCGACAGUUUGAGGACCGGCAGGCUGCCUCUGAGCUGCAGGAGGGCCAUCAUCACCCUGCUGCCCAAGAAGGGAGACCUGCAGGAGCUGAAAAACUGGAGGCCAGUCUCCCUGCUGUGCACGGAUUAUAAGAUCCUGUCCAAGGCUCUGACCCUCAGACUGAGGGAGGUGAUGGCGUCCAUCAUCCACCCUGACCAGACCUACUGUGUGCCUGGCCGGCUCACCAGUGACAACGUCACUCUAAUUCGAGACGUUUUGGAGCUCUCCAGUUCAUUGGGUAUAGAGACUGGUCUUAUUUCCAUAUGUGGCAGGCAGCACCUUGCUGCUGUUGAAUGCAGCUCUCCCUCCUCCUCUAACCCCUCCUUUCCCCUAAUCAGGUUAGCUGAAUAAAAGGCAGCAGCUCACCUGCAGUCGGCCUUCUGCUCUGCUCGGAAUGCUGGUGGUAGACCUGCUGCUGUUUUGUUUCCCCCAUUAACUGUCAUUUUUGCCCUUUUGAUUGGUUUCCCCCCUUACUUGGUUUGUUUCUACCUCUAAGUUUGGUUGUUUUACCCAGUUACUCCCCCAUUAGUUUGCAUUCUGUUCUUAGUUACCCUUAGUUGCUUUUCUCCUUAGUGAUUCUAGUUUUACCAACUGGGUUCGCUGUUGCUGGUUUGUUUGUUUCUGUGGUUAAUCCUUUUAUUUUAUUUCAGAAGUUGAGCCCACUAGUUUGGGAGGCUAGGCACCCCGGGUGAGGGCCCUCCACCUUUGCAUGAGUUUGACACGUGGUCACAAGACUACACCAAUUUGUUUCUUUUUUGAAGGUUUGAAGUGUGUGUGUGCUAUGCUUCACUUGGUGAGUAUAAGGGAGCACUCCCCUGCACUUUCCCUCUGUAGUCUGCCUCCCUUCUGGUGGCCUCAGCUUAUUUUAAGUUAAUUUAGUUUGGGUUUCUUUGAUUUAGUUUAAGUUGGGUUUAUUGUACAUUUUAACUGUUUUUAACUUUUGCAGAAGGCCUUGUUUUAAAUUAUUAUAGAAAUAAAAUUAACUUUCUUGACCCUUAUCUGUGUUUUGUUAUGUUGUUUUAACUUUAUCCCUUUCUUUCCCUCCUAGGUUAAAUUUCUGUUAUAUUUAAGUUUAACUUCAUUUUUGAUCUAAUAAACAUUUUGAAAUAUUUUGAACUCUGUCUCUGCCUCUUUCAGAAUUUACCUGUGUUGCCUUAUUCUUAUUUUAGCUUCCUGUUAUGAUUUUAGUCUGAAAGUGCAGUUUCCUGGGGUGUAAGUCCCCAGGUGGCGUUGCUGGUUGGAGACAAUAUCAUCUAAUUGUGAACAAAAUAGCACCCCUUGCCACAUUCCAUAGAUCAGGAAAAGGCUUUUGACUGGGUUGAACACCAGUACCUGUGGCAGACUCUGGCUGCCUUUGGGUUCAACCCUGGGUUCAUAGCCAUGGUCCGGGUUCUCUAUAGUGACAUUGCGAGUGUUCUGAAAAUUAACGGCUGGCUGAGUGCACCAUUUGAGAUCCAGAGAGGGGUGAGGCAGGGCUGCUCUCUCUCUGGGAUGUUGUAUUCAGUUGCCAUCGAGCCUCUGCUUCACAGGCUGAGAGACAAACUAAGUGGUGUGUGUUUCCCCCGGUGCCCUGUGUCUUUUAAACUGUCUGUAUACGCUGACGAUCUUAUUGUUUUAGUUAAAACACAAAGAGACAUUGACAUUUUAACUGACACUGUUCAUGACUUUGGUUUGAUCUCCUCAGCUAAGGUGAACUGGGGGAAAAGCGAGGCUCUGAUGGCUGGAGGGGAGCUGGGGGGCCGGCUCAGGCUGCCCGGUGGCCUGCAGUGGAAAAAAGGAGGACUCCGGUAGCUUGGGGUCUUCCUAGGAGAUGAGACCUACAUACAGAAAAACUGAGACAAUGUCCUGGAGCAGGUUAAAGGUCGGCUGGAGAAGUGGAGGUGGCUGCUCCCUAAAAUGUCGUACGGAGGCCGAACCUUAAUCGCAAAUAAUCUGGUCUCAUCUUCCCUGUGGCACCGGCUGGCCUGUGUCGAUCCUCCAGCUUCUCUCCUUCCCAAGAUUCAGUCGUUUUUAGUUGAUUUUAUUUGGGACAGACUCCACUGGGUCCCACAGAGUGUCCUGUUUUUACCAAAAGAGGAGGGGGGCCAGGGCCUGGUCCACCUGGCCAGCAGGGGCGCAGCCUUCAGGCUCCAGUUCAUCCAAAGGCUGCUGACGGGGCCAAAGGCCACUCUGUGGAGGCCCCUGGCCCGCUGCAUUCUGCAGGGUUUUAACAGCCUGGGUCAGGAUUUUAAUUUGUUUUUAAUGAACACACAGAACAUGAGCACAUCUUCUCUGCCUUCUUUUUAUCAAUGUGUUUUUAAGGUCUGGGGCCUGCUGAGGAAGGAGAGGAGGGGCCAGGUGGACUCCAUCUACUGGCUCCUGCAGGAACCGGUCCUAUGGGGGACCUGUCUGGAGAAAAGACUGCAGACGGCGGGGAUCGUCACUCUGGGGCAGGUGGUGGAGCUGAUGGGACCCCGGAUGGAUGACCCCUCUGGACUCGCUGCCCGGCUGGGACUUUUAUCGAUGAGGGUCACCCAAAAACUCGUAGAGCACUGGAGACAGAGACUCACAGGACACGACUGCCUGCUUUUAAACUCCCCUUUUACCCGGACAAUAACUGAAGAAGACCCCUUUCCUGCCAUCUUCCUGGCACCGGAUUUUAAAGACUGUUCUGGCCCGCUGUUGGAUUUUAACCACCCCGCCCCUUUGGAGGGCACACCAGGAAAAACCUUUUAUAAAAUCAUGGUAAAAACAACAAACUGGACAAAAGACCUGACACCCCAUGGCGGAACUAUCUGCGCCUGGCUCCUGAGGCCAGGCCUGAGUGGAGGGCCUUCUACAAACCUCCACUCUCAAAAAGACACAAUAAUGUGCACUGGAGAGUCCUCCAUGGGGCCAUAGCAGUGAACUCUUUUAUAUCACAAAUUAACCCGGCAGUAGAGGACACAUGUCCCUACUGCCCCCAGAGAGAGACAAUUUUUCACUGUUUUUAUGAAUGUCUGCGUCUUUUACCUUUUUUUCUGUUUUUACAAACUGUUUUUACCAAGUGUGGAGAAGUUUUUAACAAGCAGGAUUUUAUUCUGGGUUUUAAAUACAUAUGCCAACACAAGAACAAGUGCCAGCUUUUAAACUUUGUUUUAGGGCAGGCCAAGAUGGCAGUGUAUUUUAGUCACAGGAGGAAGGUGGAGGAUGGUUUUAUUGUUGAUCUGGGGUCCGUUUCACGUAGCAGGUUUAAUGGAAACUCCGAGUUUGUUAACCCUGAAAUCAGGGAAACUCUGAGUUUUCCGUUUCACAAAGGAGGGUUAGUUAAACCAGGGAGAGAGGGGUAACUCUAACCUGUUUCACAAAGAGAGGUAACUCAACCUCGCGGUCAGUUACCACAGUAACAGACUCCGUGAACCUAACCUGCUCGGGAGCAGGUUUAACUCAGUAAACCCAGAGUUUCAGGUGAGACAUCGGCAUUUUCUCAUUUUGAUCAUGUUUUACAUUGUCAAGUAAGUAUUAAGUGGCAGUUUGAUCCCUUAAAAAAUGCUCUUUUCACACUCAAAACUGAAUUUUACUCUCUUAUUAUGUUCCGUUAAAUGAUUAGGAAUAUUAAACAAACACAAACGGAUGGUGGCCCAGCAGCCCCACCUUUAACGGAGGCAGAGGAGCUGCCCCCCCCCCCCCCCCCCCCCCCGUUCGACGAUCGCGGCCGGUCCAAUCGCAAAUCCCCCCCCCCACAGACACACACACACACACACGCACACCAGUCCGGCGAUCGCUGCUACGGGGUGGGGGUUGCGAUCGUCGGGGGGGGGGGGCAGCUCCUCUGCCUCCGUUAAAGGUGGGGCUGCUGGGCCACCACCCGUUUUUCUGGCAUCUGCCCUCUUUCUGUUUGCUGAGUGAAAGUCUAAUAUUGAGUGUAGUGUGUGUUAGUUUAAUAUAUGUACAUAUACAUACUGAGAGUUAGUUUAAUAUUCCUAAUCAUUUAACGGAACAUCAUAAGAGAGUAAAAUUCAUUUUUGAGUGUGAAAAGAGCAUUUUCUAAGGGAUCAAACUGCCACUUAAUACUUACUUGACAAUGUAAAACAUGAUCAAAAUGAUUCAAGCAGUUUCCCUGCAACAGUCUGUCAUUGUGAUUGCACGAGACUAGAUUUAAAGUUACGCAUUGACACGAGCAGCGAUUUCCUCCCAAGCCCUCUCCCUCUCCUUUGCAGCUGCUGCUGUAUUGCACUUUCUUUUAAAAACGUGCUGUAAUUUGCUGUUGGCUUGCUGCUGCCCCCUCCUUCUCCCUGUUUCCAUUGGUUGAUCAUUGAAUCUGCGCUCCACAGAUGCUGGCUGUUUAUGUCUGGCGUGCACGUGCUUAACUCCAGGUCAAACUACUCGGAGUUGUUAAAACCGUCUCAAAUCAGGUGUUGUGAAACCGGAAACUCAGAGUUUCCUAACUCAGAGUAGAUCAACUCAGAGUUAAGGAUUUAACUCAGAGUUUGUUGAACCACCUACGUGAAACGGACCCCUGGUCACUGUCUGUAAAAAUAUGAUCAAGUCCAGACUCCUCAUUGAUUUUAAUUUCUACAAAGCAGGAGGAGAUCUGGCAUCAUUCCAGGCGGUUUGGGGUUUUAAUCAGGUGUUGUGCUCAAUAGCAGGAAAUAUUUUACAGUUUGAAGAUGUGUGCAUGUAAAUUUUUAUUUAUUUAUUAAUUUUUUGACUGUGUGUGAUUGCUUGAAUUGACAUCUUUUUUGAAAAAAGAGCGACAAAUAAAGUAGAUUCAAAAAUAAAAAAAA
This is a non-coding RNA of Xyrichtys novacula (pearly razorfish), 5680 nucleotides long. NCBI's taxonomy places the organism in Eukaryota, Metazoa, Chordata, Actinopteri, Labriformes, Labridae. The record is from the annotation of a GenBank genome assembly.